GCCGGCAUAGCUCAAUUGGCAGAGCACUCGCCUUGUAAGCGAAAGGUUAGGGGUUCGAUUCCCCUUGCCGGCU
Molecule: transfer RNA, 73 nt
Filed under: Lentzea tibetensis
Lineage: Bacteria; Bacillati; Actinomycetota; Actinomycetes; Pseudonocardiales; Pseudonocardiaceae
Also listed under: 1 other name
Rfam family: tRNA
About the family: Transfer RNA (tRNA) molecules are approximately 80 nucleotides in length. Their secondary structure includes four short double-helical elements and three loops (D, anti-codon, and T loops).
Source: Rfam by way of RNAcentral